UACGUAGGGAGCAAGCGUUGUCCGGAAUCAUUGGGCGUAAAGCGCGCGUAGGCGGCCUCAUAAGUCCGUUGUGAAAGUCAAAGGCUCAACCUUUGAAAGCCGAUGGAUACUGUGAGGCUAGAGUCCGGAAGAGGCGAGUGGAAUUCCUGGUGUAGCGGUGGAAUGCGCAGAUAUCAGGAGGAACACCAAUAGCGAAGGCAGCUCGCUGGGACGGUACUGACGCUGAGAAGCGAAAGCAUGGGGAGCGAACAGG
RNAcentral lists this ribosomal RNA (253 nucleotides) under uncultured bacterium. RNAcentral's name for it is "partial 16S ribosomal RNA". It matches the Rfam family "Bacterial small subunit ribosomal RNA", at positions 524 to 776 of the family's 1533-position model. The record is from RNAcentral.